This is a non-coding RNA of Triticum aestivum (bread wheat), 87 nucleotides long. NCBI's taxonomy places the organism in Eukaryota, Viridiplantae, Streptophyta, Magnoliopsida, Poales, Poaceae. The record is from Rfam.
GGAUGGAUGUCUGAGCGGUUGAAAGAGUCGUUCUUGAAAACCGAAGUAUUGAUAGGAAUACCGGGGGUUCGAAUCCCUCUCCAUCCG